UACGUAGGGUGCGAGCGUUGUCCGGAAUUACUGGGCGUAAAGGGCGCGUAGGCGGAUGGCACAGUCAGAUGUGAAAUUCCCGGGCUUAACCUGGGGGCUGCAUUUGAUACGUGUGAUCUAGAGUGAGGAAGAGGGUCGUGGAAUUCCCAGUGUAGAGGUGAAAUUCGUAGAUAUUGGGAAGAACACCGGUGGCGAAGGCGGCGACCUGGUCCUUGACUGACGCUGAGGCGCGAAAGCGUGGGGAGCAAACAGG
Molecule: ribosomal RNA, 253 nt
Filed under: uncultured bacterium
Lineage: Bacteria
Description: partial 16S ribosomal RNA
Rfam family: Bacterial small subunit ribosomal RNA
Source: RNAcentral